Molecule: ribosomal RNA, 601 nt
Filed under: uncultured Chitinophagaceae bacterium
Lineage: Bacteria; Pseudomonadati; Bacteroidota; Chitinophagia; Chitinophagales; Chitinophagaceae
Also listed under: 1 other name
Description: bacterial SSU rRNA
Rfam family: Bacterial small subunit ribosomal RNA
Source: RNAcentral
AGAGUUUGAUCCUGGCUCAGGAUGAACGCUAGCGGCAGGCUUAAUACAUGCAAGUCGAGGGGCAGCGCGGGUAGCAAUACCUGGCGGCGACCGGCAAACGGGUGAGGAACAUGUACGCAACCUUCCUUUAACUGGAGGAUAGCCCAUCGAAAGAUGGAUUAAUACUCCGUAACAUACUGAUAAGGCAUCUUAUUAUUAUUAUAGCUCUGGCGGUUAAAGAUGGGCGUGCAACUGAUUAGAUAGUUGGUGAGGUAACGGCUCACCAAGUCAGCGAUCAGUAACUGGUGUGAGAGCACGACCAGUCACACGGGCACUGAGACACGGGCCCGACUCCUACGGGAGGCAGCAGUAAGGAAUAUUGGUCAAUGGACGCAAGUCUGAACCAGCCAUGCCGCGUGGAGGAUUAAGGCCCUUGGGUUGUAAACUCCUUUUAUCUGGGAAGAAAUGCAUUUUUUCUAAAGUGCUUGACGGUACCAGAGGAAUAAGCACCGGCUAACUCCGUGCCAGCAGCCGCGGUAAUACGGAGGGUGCAAGCGCUAUCCGGAUUUACUGGGUUUAAAGGGUGCGUAGGCGGAUAGGUAAGUCAGUGGUGAAAUCUCCG